GUGAGUACCUCCCAGAUGGAGUGCUCUUGGUGUCUCCGUUCUCUGCCUGGUCCCAGCACCUGUUUUUCCUUUAUUUCACUCAUGCUUGUUAAGACAGAUAGGGUUUUUGUUAAGAUUCUUUUUCUUUGGCCUCUGCAGCUGCCAUUUGUGUUUUUGACCUGAGAAUGAUGUGACAGACCAGAGAGAGGGUGACCGAGGUUUCUUUGCAUUUAUUUGAGCCUUUUUCACUCUGAUUACUGGGGUUAGCUAGGAUGUAUAACAUACACAUAUUCCAAGGCCUCAGUGGUGAAAGCAGGUGUAGGACUCUGAGCUUCAUUGUUUAAAAAGUGUAUAAUUUAGGGUCCUUUUAUUGCAAGGUACAGAUAUUAACCUGGAAACUCACAAGGGAAAAAUGCAAUUAAGUGAAGGAUAUGUAGUAGUCAUUUAGUAAAAGCCAAAGCUGAAGACCAAGUAUAGGAGAGUGCUGGAACCCGAGAACUUAAGUAGCAGGAAGUAAUGGACAGUCUCUUUAGGGAAGUACUAGUGUUUUCUCUUCAAUUUAUGUCCCUGUUCUGUUCAGGAUUAAAAUUCCCUUGAAAAUCUGGUGGACCCAGCUUGGGCCCUAUACCCAGCUCUUGGCUGGGUGAGGGUGAGAAGCCUUAACUGAUAGUCCUUCUAAAACUGUCCACAGCAAGGGAAGAGAGCAAAGUGCAGCAGCAGCAGAGUGACGAGGUCGGGACAGGCUAAAUCAGCAGCUGCUCAUCACAGCUGAAAGGGCCCGGGCUCCCUAGAAAGAGAUGUCCAGCGCCCCAGUCUUACACUGGUUCUUGUCAUUAUUACAAAGUGGCAGGGGAGCCUGCUAUGGACUGAAUGUUUGUGGCCCCCCCCCCAUUCUUAUGUUGAAGCCCUAAGCCCAACACGAUGGUUUUUGGAGGUGAGGCCUUUGGGAGGUAAUUAGGGUUAGAUGAGGCCAUGUGGGUGGGACCUCACAAGGGGAUGAAUGCCCUUAUAAAACAAAGAUUGGAAAUGAGAUCUUUCUCUCCCCCUACGUGUACACAUCGACGAAAGGCCACGUGAGGACAUAAGGAGAAGAUGGCCAUCUGAAACCGGGAAGAGAGGUCUCAAUGACUCCGAAUCCACCAGCACCGUGAUCUUGGACUUCCCAGCCUCCUUGGAAGGGUCCCUGGACUCUCCCAGAACUGUGAGAACAGCCAGAUGGACUCCAUGUUGCCUCCUUUGGAAGGAAGACGAACCCCAGUUAUCCUUCUGCACAGCAAACUGAUCACUGAGAACAAUCAGGUUUGCAGAUUCCACCCCGGCUGAGAGGAGAGCCUACGUGGGGUACAGGGUUGGCAAAGACUCUAGCUUCCCAGGCUUUGAAGAUUUUUCUUGAGUGGCUAGAAACACCAGAGGAGAAGGUGAUGCCUCUCCCACACCCCUGUUUCUCAGCCCCUCUGAUAAAAUCACUCCCUUCAGCUGCAGACAGGCUCUAUCAAGUCUUAGCAGGCCUCGUGUGUAUUAUUUAUUUGAUUAAAAAAAUUGUGUCAUUUGGUUUUAAGGAGCCUCUGGGAAUGAGCAUAAUUAAGCAUAGAUUAAAAUGUCUGAAAGACUGAAAACCAC
Long non-coding RNA from Equus caballus (horse), 1599 nucleotides. The record is from Ensembl. Lineage: Eukaryota; Metazoa; Chordata; Mammalia; Perissodactyla; Equidae.